Molecule: non-coding RNA, 1305 nt
Organism: Drosophila melanogaster (fruit fly)
Lineage: Eukaryota; Metazoa; Arthropoda; Insecta; Diptera; Drosophilidae
Source: Ensembl
CGCAGCUUUCGCCACUUUGGCCUUUUGCCGAUUUUCGGUUUAUCUCUGUGGGCAGGAAAAUCGGAAUCGAAUCGGCCCGGCCAUAUAAAAUAAAAGGCCAGACAGUGUCUGGGCUUUGGCACAGUCGUUCGUUUCGCACCAAAUGGGAGACAACAACGUAGGAGAAAAGAGAGUGAGCCACAAAAGAAAAAGAAAUAAUUCGCAGAAAAAUAGUUAACGCGCGUGAUGGUGUGCGUGUGUGUGUGACGCGUUCGUGUGUGAGAAGCAAAGCCAAGGAAAAUGCAACGGAAGUUUUCAGUCGCAAAGAAAAAAGACGAAAAAUCGCAAAACGGAACUGAAACAUAUUGUGAAAUUCGAGCGACAGAGAAAGCGAUACAUCAACGUGGUUUCUGGAGCUUCUAGGUUUUUCUACCACCAGGAAUCAAAGAACGUGAAAGAACUCUUAAAAGAGAUGGCCGGAAAGAAGAACGAGGUUUAUUUUUAGCAUUUUGAUAUCACAAGGCAGCUUUUUUCGCUACACUACGAGAAAAAAAUGACGCAAAUGCGUUUCAAAUAUAGAAUAUCAAGGGUCUGCCGAACGAAACGCAAGGAAAAGAGAAUUUGCUGAAUGAAAUGUAAUAAUUCGCUGACGGAUGACGUCACGUCCUAUGUGGUCAUUAGCACUCCAGUGGCGCAACCAGGGGGCCAAUACUACGCUCCGAAAUAGUUGGUAAAACCUUUGACAAUCAAACCAAAUUAAUUCACAAUUUUCAGCACUUGAAGAAUGGAAGACAACAAAGUGAAAAAACCCGCAAGUUGAAUCUAGAUACGCCCCUGGUUCCAGUUUUCUGCUCUCAUAUGACUAAUUUUGGCAUUGUUAUUGCAUAAAAUUCGCAUGGCGUCAUCAUCAUCAACGCGUACAACUACCAAGCUCGCAAAGAUCGUUAACCCCAAAGCGACGGAGACCUAAUACCAGGCACAAGGUCGACUCCCGUGACCCCCUCCCCAGAAGGGGGUCGCCAUUCGCUGAUGCAGUUUUGUUGCCAUGCGGCGGCCAAACAUCUGUCUCAGAACUGCAAAUGCUGAAAAAAAAACCUGACUGGGCUUGGCUUGGACUGGCCUGGCUCUUCAUCUUCAACUCCAGCCACCACAGUUCCUACUCGUUAUAUGUGAUGAUGUUCCCCCGACUGUAAAGUCUCCUACCUUGCGCGCUAAUCAGUGACCGGGGCUGGUUUUUUAUAUACAGUCAGGUACCUGAAGUAGCGCGCGUGGUGGCAGACAUAUAUCUCCAUCUUCACCAUAUAAAUAAGCGAAAUGCUCGCAGGC